Molecule: long non-coding RNA, 544 nt
Filed under: Pan troglodytes (chimpanzee)
Lineage: Eukaryota; Metazoa; Chordata; Mammalia; Primates; Hominidae
Description: lincRNA
Source: RNAcentral
AGAGAGCUAUCUCAUCCAAGCUACCUCAUCCAAGGUCAUGCCCCCAUCUCUGGGCAGCCUGCAUCCAACUACUAAUUAACAGAGGGUAUACAGACCCAGCCUUUUUGCUGAGACAACUUCAGUGACAAGUAUGAAGGAUCACCGCAUUUUCAGAACUCCCCAUAACUUUGGCUGAGGUUUCUGUUGAGACUACAUUGCAGCUGAUUUUCUUUUUUCAAUCCUGCUUCCUUCCCUUCCCCCAAGUAUAUGGUCAACCACCCAGAUAUUUCUCAACCUGCCUCCCAGUGAGGUGCCAUGUAACUACAUUCUGGCCAAUGACAUGGCCAUGACACUCAUGGAACACAAACCAUCUAUUUGUCUACCACAAAAUGCACCCAAGUGUCUCAAAGUGCCCUUCUGGUUACAAAAUGAGACACUGCUUCAGGACCUUGGAGAGCGCCCUUCCAGGUUAACACAAGGUCAAUAUCUCCAGGACCUCCCUGAGAUCCACGGGAUGGCAUUUUCUCUUCUUGACAUUAGCCAGAAAAACAAAACAAAACUAAAC